Molecule: ribosomal RNA, 497 nt
Filed under: uncultured bacterium
Lineage: Bacteria
Description: partial 16S ribosomal RNA
Rfam family: Bacterial small subunit ribosomal RNA
Source: RNAcentral
GAUGAACGCUGGCGGCGUGCCUAAUACAUGCAAGUCGAGCGAACAGACAAGGAGCUUGCUCCUCUGACGUUAGCGGCGGACGGGUGAGUAACACGUGGAUAACCUACCUAUAAGACUGGGAUAACUUCGGGAAACCGGAGCUAAUACCGGAUAAUAUAUUGAACCGCAUGGUUCAAUAGUGAAAGACGGUUUUGCUGUCACUUAUAGAUGGAUCCGCGCCGCAUUAGCUAGUUGGUAAGGUAACGGCUUACCAAGGCAACGAUGCGUAGCCGACCUGAGAGGGUGAUAGGCCACACUGGAACUGAGACACGGUCCAGACGCCUACGGGAGGCAGCAGUAGGGAAUCGGCCGCAAUGGGCGAAAGCCUGACGGAGCAACGCGGCGUGAGUGAUGAAGGUCUUCGGAUCGUAAAACUCUGUUAUUAGGGAAGAACAAAUGUGUAAGUAACUAUGCACGUCUUGACGGUAACUAAUCAGAAAGCCACGGCUAACUACGUG